Molecule: long non-coding RNA, 233 nt
Filed under: Homo sapiens (human)
Lineage: Eukaryota; Metazoa; Chordata; Mammalia; Primates; Hominidae
Description: HSALNT0387500
Source: RNAcentral
AAGUUAGCUGUAUGGAUGGCUAUGAGGGGUGCACACAGCCCGUUCACCAACUGAGGAAUGGAGAACUCGAAGGGAGGAACGGAGACUCGGCCAAGCCUCAGCACUCACAGCGGCAGGGUGGAUGAGUUCUAAUAAGGGUAGUUUCCUGUGACAGUCCGGAAUCUGGAACUAGGCAUCAGUGGCUGCAGGAUCCUGCCCUCAGCCCAAAUGGCUCCUGCAUGAAAAGCUGCGGU